This is a long non-coding RNA of Raphanus sativus (radish), 463 nucleotides long. RefSeq lists it as uncharacterized. The transcript has 2 exons. NCBI's taxonomy places the organism in Eukaryota, Viridiplantae, Streptophyta, Magnoliopsida, Brassicales, Brassicaceae. The record is from RefSeq and is a predicted model, not a curated record.
UAUCUUGCUUUUCCUGUAUGAUCGGAGCUUCAACCUCACAUAACAUGUUCUGAAAGGACUGUGAUUGGUGAUUGGUGAAAACAGUAAUGCUGGAACCAUCAGGCCAACAAGACUUGGAGAGCAGUCAAAACUCAUUGAAUUUGGUACAAUGCAUUGUGUCUGUGAUCUUGCUGAUGCACAAGGACAUCAAAGUCAAGGAAGAUAUUAUCACCAUCCAAGUCAGAGAUUGAUUUGGUUCUGCACAACGUUAUCACACUGCAGUCCUCCGAUCUUGACUGUAGACAUAUGAUGAAAACCACAGAAGAGCAACUUAGGAUUGCAUCUAAUAGCUUAAUAAGCUGUGCAACAAUAUAAUGAUUUGUGCUCUCGGUGUAAAAACUAUAUGACUUUCUUUUUUUUUUACCUGGGAAAGCACCAAUUUAAAGUACACAAUUUUGAUAAAGAUAUGACUUUUCUUUGCUUA